CGCCACCCACCACUCCCACCCCAAAUCGAGGGUCGGAGCUGAGUGGAACUGGCCGUCCCGAACGGAUGAAAUUAUGUUCGGGUCGGCUGAAAUGGAUGGAAUUCGGCCCCGCGGCGACACAGCCCGCGAUCAGGUGAUCCGCGCCCGCGAUUGACUUCGCGGACCGAGGUAUUUAUCAAGAGCGUGCGUGUCGCCCAGUCGGCGUUGUUCCGCAGAAAGCAGGUCUUUCCCCCCGCCGCCGCCGGGCUCGAGAGAGCUCGGCCGGUCCGGGGGAAAAAAAUACGUCACGC
RNAcentral lists this unclassified non-coding RNA (290 nucleotides) under Leptobryum pyriforme. RNAcentral describes it as "partial internal transcribed spacer 2". The record is from RNAcentral. Lineage: Eukaryota; Viridiplantae; Streptophyta; Bryopsida; Splachnales; Meesiaceae.